Molecule: long non-coding RNA, 857 nt
Filed under: Homo sapiens (human)
Lineage: Eukaryota; Metazoa; Chordata; Mammalia; Primates; Hominidae
Description: HSALNT0201003
Source: RNAcentral
CCUACUCAGGAGGCUGAGGCAGGAGAAUCGUUUGAACCCAGCAGACGGAGAUUGCAGUGAGCUGAGACCGCACCAUUGCACUCCAGCCUGGAUGAGAGAGCAAGACUCCGUCUCAAAAAAAUUUAAGAACUCAUUUAUAAAGGAACAUGGUUGGGAUGUGAAGAGCUCCUUUAACAUGGCACAGAGUCUGGUGACUGGAAGGUCUAGAAGUAUAUCAGAGGAAAGGAAAAAUUAAUGGAUAAUGACCAGAUUUUACAUCCACCUAAUGGCUUGGAAUGUUCCAGUGCCAAGAGAAGGCCUUCUUGUCGCAUGUGAUUUCAUAAUAAUUAGGGCCAGCUGUGUCUGUGCGAAUCAGGUCAAGCCAGAUGCCAAACCCUAACUCAAACACUUACAGGAAGAUCCUCAUUGCCAGGAGCCUCAAACGUCCUGCAGAAAAUCAAAAAAAGCAUCUGCCUCCUGUGUCCCCUCUUUCCCUGUUGUACGGCUAACACCAGAUCCCAGUCUCUUCAGUGGCACUCAACUUUUUCAAGUCACAAGAUGGAAGCGCUUUGGAAGAGGAGUAAAGGACCUGGACUCUGAUUCCAUGCCACCGCAAACUCGGGCAGGCACUUCAAAGCAGAGAGUCUCAUUUUCCACUUCUGAAAAACACAUGGUCUAGAUGAGCUCUAAGUCCUUUGCACUCAAUAAUUUCACAGUCUUUUUUAUUAUUAAUAUUAUUUUCAAUUGAAAAAUCAUAAUUGUAUAUUUAUGGGGUACAAUGUGAUGUUUUGAUAUAUGUAUUCAAUAAGGAAUUAUUAAAUCAAGAUAAUUAACAUAUCCAUCAUCUCACUUGCCUAUCAUUUAAAAAAAUUUGCCUA